AAGCACAUGAUGAGUUACUCGGAUUCCCCUUCAAGAUAUCAUGGGUGAUGCAAAAAUCGAGUUUCUGACGCA
Molecule: non-coding RNA, 72 nt
Organism: Solanum lycopersicum (tomato)
Lineage: Eukaryota; Viridiplantae; Streptophyta; Magnoliopsida; Solanales; Solanaceae
Source: Rfam